GUUUUUUUUAGGUUUUUUUAUAGGGGGUCUGCUGAUGAGACUUGUUUUAUGUUUGUAAAAUUUAACAACAUGCCGUGUCUAUAUAUCAAAAUCUAAAACGUAAGGUUAUUAACGCAAAGUUUCUAAACAUGAGGGGCACUUUAUCAUAUUAUUAGAUUAGAUACCAGUACCCAAACCGUUUGGGGGGUUUUGGAACAAAUACGAGGAUGGGAACUCGAGAAGUGUACGAGGAGAGACUGAGAAGAGGAAAUCUAGAGCAUGAUCCCACCAUCAAUCCUGGUCUUGGCAACCCCCGUUGCCCCCGUUGUCUCUCUCUCGUGAAUCCUCAUUCAGAAAACGAGGAGUGGACUAUCACCCCAGUUCUACAUGAUGCCACUGCUGUGGCUGGCUGUGGAAUUGGUGGAAUGCUUAGUGCAAUUCAUGGUUUCAACACAGGAAUUCCAUUUGUUCAGAAACAUGUCAAGGGACCAAAGUGGCUUCCUUUUAUUAUAGGGGUUCCUCCACUUCUGAUUUGCUCUGCUGCUAGUGCUGUCUUUGGAGGCUAUGCCCUUCCCAAAUUCACGCAACUCACUGUGACAUCAUAUUAUGCUGCAUCAAGUGCAUCACAUUAUGGCAUCUCGUUGUUAACUAGACGCAUUGAAGAGGCCAACACAUCCCAUUCACCGCCAAAAAGGAUUAAAUAACAAGCUGCAGAAUUGCAGGUUAUCUGCUGCAUACAUUAAGAAAAAAAGAUAAGUCUAUGGCCUACUGGUGGCCUCAAAUUUGUCUCAAGGAUUCACUAUACAUAACACUGCCAUUUAAUAAUUGAAUGCUACGACAUGAGUUUCAAACCAAAGCUUCAGGUUCUCCAAAACUAAUUAUUAUUUGGAUCGGAUCUACUUCAUUUACUUAAGGGAAGUAAACUUGCUCAGCUCAUAUUACAAACCUUACAUUGAAUUAUUCCAAUGGUUAGUUUGGGAAUGAACUAAGUAAUACUCUGUCUGGUUGAUUAUCUAUUACUACUGCAUAGCUUGCUCAAGCAGCAGUGUAGUUGACAAAUUUUUAUUCUUUUAUCUAUUGUAAUGCCAAAGGAGAAUAUGUAAUGAGGCAAAAUUUCUACUGCAGAAUAUAGAUGCAGUUCCAUUAUAAGUUAUACAUGGUACCUUAGUAACUA
Daucus carota subsp. sativus is the source of this 1153-nucleotide RNA transcript. RefSeq lists it as uncharacterized. The record is from RefSeq and is a predicted model, not a curated record. NCBI's taxonomy places the organism in Eukaryota, Viridiplantae, Streptophyta, Magnoliopsida, Apiales, Apiaceae. The transcript has 8 exons.